UGCGUAGGCGGAUUAAUAAGUCAGUGGUGAAAACCUGCAGCUUAACUGCAGACCUGCCAUUGAUACUGUUAGUCUUGAGUACGGUCAAGGUAGGCGGAAUGUGUAAUGUAGCGGUGAAAUGCUUAGAUAUGACACAAAACACCAAUUGCGAAGGCAGCUCGCUAAGCCAUAACUGACGCUGAGGCACGAAAGCGUGGGGAGCAAACAGGAUUAGAUACCCUGGUAGUCC
RNAcentral lists this ribosomal RNA (229 nucleotides) under uncultured bacterium. Its description in RNAcentral is "partial 16S ribosomal RNA". It matches the Rfam family "Bacterial small subunit ribosomal RNA", at positions 568 to 796 of the family's 1533-position model. The record is from RNAcentral.